CCGUGCUAGGCGGGGUGCUAGCGGUGCCCUGUACCCGCAAUCCGCUCUAGCGGGGCUGAAUCCCCUCCCCAGGGGCUCAGGCCCUGGGGUCAGCGCCCCGUUUCAUGGCGUUGAUGGUUCGGUCCCGCGGCGGUGAAGGCCCGUGAACCAGGUCAGGUCCGGAAGGAAGCAGCCUUAAGCGGUCACCUUCAGGCGUAGCG
This 200-nucleotide signal recognition particle RNA is filed under the name Candidatus Dormiibacterota bacterium. RNAcentral's name for it is "partial signal recognition particle sRNA large type". It matches the Rfam family "Bacterial large signal recognition particle RNA", at positions 1 to 193 of the family's 256-position model. From Rfam's summary of the family: The signal recognition particle (SRP) is a universally conserved ribonucleoprotein involved in the co-translational targeting of proteins to membranes. The record is from RNAcentral. Lineage: Bacteria; Bacillati; Candidatus Dormiibacterota.